RNAcentral lists this ribosomal RNA (250 nucleotides) under uncultured Chroococcidiopsis sp. RNAcentral's name for it is "partial 16S ribosomal RNA". It matches the Rfam family "Bacterial small subunit ribosomal RNA", at positions 796 to 1044 of the family's 1533-position model. Lineage: Bacteria; Bacillati; Cyanobacteriota; Cyanophyceae; Chroococcidiopsidales; Chroococcidiopsidaceae. The record is from RNAcentral.
CUAGCUGUAAACGAUGGAUACUAGGCGUUGAGAGUAUCGACCCUCUCAGUGUCGUAGCUAACGCGUUAAGUAUCCCGCCUGGGGAGUACGCGCGUAAGCGUGAAACUCAAAGGAAUUGACGGGGGCCCGCACAAGCGGUGGAGUAUGUGGUUUAAUUCGAUGCAACGCGAAGAACCUUACCAGGGCUUGACAUGUCCGGAACCCUGCCCAAAGGCGGGGGUGCCUACGGGAACCGGAACACAGGUGGUGC